GAGGAAUAUUGGUCAAUGGACGAGAGUCUGAACCAGCCAAAUCGCGUGAAGGAAGACUGCCCUACGGGUUGUAAACUUCUUUUGUACAGGAAUAAAAGACAUUACGUGUAAUGUAUUGCAUGUACUGUACGAAUAAGCAUCCGCUAACUCCGUGCCAGCAGCCGCGGUAAUACGGAGGAUGCGAGCGUUAUCCGGAUUUAUUGGGUUUAAAGGGUGCGCAGGCGGGAUUUUAAGUCAGCGGUGAAAUUUUCCGGCUCAACCUGAACACUGCCGUUGAAACUGGGAUCCUUGAGUAUGGAUGAAGUAGGCGGAAUUCGUUGUGUAGCGGUGACAUGCUUAGAUAUAACGAGGAACUCCGAUUGCGUAGGCAGCUUACUAAGCCAUAACUGACGCUCAAGCACGAAAGCGUGGGGAUCAAACA
Molecule: ribosomal RNA, 421 nt
Filed under: uncultured bacterium
Lineage: Bacteria
Description: bacterial SSU rRNA
Rfam family: Bacterial small subunit ribosomal RNA
Source: RNAcentral